This 118-nucleotide non-coding RNA is filed under the name Homo sapiens (human). Lineage: Eukaryota; Metazoa; Chordata; Mammalia; Primates; Hominidae. The record is from Rfam by way of RNAcentral.
GCCAGGCACGGUGGCCCAUGCCUGUAAUCCCAGCACUUUGGGAGGCUGAGGUGGGUGGAUCGCCUGAGGUCGGGAGUUUGUAGACCAGCCUGACCAACAUGGUGAAACCCCAUCUCUA